GCCCUGGUGGCAUAGUGGUCAAAGUGCUUGGCUGCUAACCAAAAGGUUAGUGGUUCAAACCCACCAACUGCC
This 72-nucleotide transfer RNA is filed under the name Loxodonta africana (African savanna elephant). It matches the Rfam family "tRNA". Rfam says of the family: Transfer RNA (tRNA) molecules are approximately 80 nucleotides in length. Their secondary structure includes four short double-helical elements and three loops (D, anti-codon, and T loops). Further hydrogen bonds mediate the characteristic L-shaped molecular structure. tRNAs have two regions of fundamental functional importance: the anti-codon, which is responsible for specific mRNA codon recognition, and the 3' end, to which the tRNAs corresponding amino acid is attached (by aminoacyl-tRNA synthetases). tRNAs cope with the degeneracy of the genetic code in two manners: having more than one tRNA (with a specific anti-codon) for a particular amino acid; and 'wobble' base-pairing, i.e. permitting non-standard base-pairing at the 3rd anti-codon position. The record is from Rfam by way of RNAcentral. Lineage: Eukaryota; Metazoa; Chordata; Mammalia; Proboscidea; Elephantidae.